GAUGAACGCUGGCGGCGUGCUUAACACAUGCAAGUCGAACGGAAAGGCCCUGCUUGCAGGGUACUCGAGUGGCGAACGGGUGAGUAACACGUGGGUGAUCUGCCCUGUACUUUGGGAUAAGCCUGGGAAACUGGGUCUAAUACCGAAUAUGACCACUUCUUGGAUGGGGUGGUGGAAAGCUUUUGCGGUAUGGGAUGAGCUCGCGGCCUAUCAGCUUGUUGGUGGGGUAAUGGCCUACCAAGGCGUCGACGGGUAGCCGGCCUGAGAGGGUGUACGGCCACAUUGGGACUGAGAUACGGCCCAGACUCCUACGGGAGGCAGCAGUGGGGAAUAUUGCACAAUGGGCGCAAGCCUGAUGCAGCGACGCCGCGUGGGGGAUGACGGCCUUCGGGUUGUAAACUCCUUUCGCAACCGACGAAGCUUUUGUGACGGUAGGUUGAGAAGAAGCACCGGCUAACUACGUGCCAGCAGCCGCGGUAAUACGUAGGGUGCGAGCGUUGUCCGGAAUUACUGGGCGUAAAGAGCUCGUAGGUGGUUUGUCGCGUCGUUUGUGGAAUACCGCAGCUUAACUGCGGGGUUGCAGGCGAUACGGGCAUAACUUGAGUGCUGUAGGGGAGACUGGAAUUCCUGGUGUAGCGGUGGAAUGCGCAGAGAUAUGGAGGAACACCGAUGGCGAAGGCGACUUUCUGGUCUGUAACUGACGCUGAUGUGCGAAAGCGUGGGGAUCGAACAGGAUUAGAUACCCUGGUAGUCCACGCCGUAAACGAUGAGUGCUAAGUGUUAGGGGGUUUCCGCCCCUUAGUGCUGCAGCUAACGCAUUAAGCACUCCGCCUGGGGAGUACGACCGCAAGGUUGAAACUCAAAGGAAUUGACGGGGACCCGCACAAGCGGUGGAGCAUGUGGUUUAAUUCGAAGCAACGCGAAGAACCUUACCAAAUCUUGACAUCCUUUGACAACUCUAGAGAUAGAGCCUUCCCCUUCGGGGGACAAAGUGACAGGUGGUGCAUGGUUGUCGUCAGCUCGUGUCGUGAGAUGUUGGGUUAAGUCCCGCAACGAGCGCAACCCUUAAGCUUAGUUGCCAUCAUUAAGUUGGGCACUCUAAGUUGUCUGCCGGUGACAAACCGGAGGAAGGUGGGGAUGACGUCAAAUCAUCAUGCCCCUUAUGAUUUGGGCUACACACGUGCUACAAUGGACAAUACAAAGGGCAGCGAAACCGCGAGGUCAAGCAAAUCCCAUAAAGUUGUUCUCAGUUCGGAUUGUAGUCUGCAACUCGACUACAUGAAGCUGGAAUCGCUAGUAAUCGUAGAUCAGCAUGCUACGGUGAAUACGUUCCCGGGUCU
This 1340-nucleotide ribosomal RNA is filed under the name uncultured bacterium. Its description in RNAcentral is "partial 16S ribosomal RNA". It matches the Rfam family "Bacterial small subunit ribosomal RNA", at positions 28 to 1381 of the family's 1533-position model. The record is from RNAcentral.